CUUUAAUCGAUUUCUUCGGAUUGAAAUUUUAGUGACUGAGUGGCGGACGGGUGAGUAACGCGUGGGUAACCUGCCUCACACAGGGGGAUAACAGUUGGAAACGGCUGCUAAUACCGCAUAAGCGCACAGUACCGCAUGGUACAGUGUGAAAAACUCCGGUGGUGUGAGAUGGACCCGCGUCUGAUUAGCUAGUUGGCAGGGCAACGGCCUACCAAGGCGACGAUCAGUAGCCGACCUGAGAGGGUGACCGGCCACAUUGGGACUGAGACACGGCCCAAACUCCUACGGGAGGCAGCAGUGGGGAAUAUUGCACAAUGGGGGAAACCCUGAUGCAGCGACGCCGCGUGAGCGAAGAAGUAUUUCGGUAUGUAAAGCUCUAUCAGCAGGGAAGAAGAAAUGACGGUACCUGACUAAGAAGCACCGGCUAAAUACGUGCCAGCAGCCGCGGUAAUACGUAUGGUGCAAGCGUUAUCCGGAUUUACUGGGUGUAAAGGGAGCGCAGGCGGAAGGCUAAGUCUGAUGUGAAAGCCCGGGGCUCAACCCCGGUACUGCAUUGGAAACUGGUCAUCUAGAGUGUCGGAGGGGUAAGUGGAAUUCCUAGUGUAGCGGUGAAAUGCG
RNAcentral lists this ribosomal RNA (618 nucleotides) under uncultured Lachnospiraceae bacterium. Its description in RNAcentral is "bacterial SSU rRNA". It matches the Rfam family "Bacterial small subunit ribosomal RNA", at positions 67 to 690 of the family's 1533-position model. Lineage: Bacteria; Bacillati; Bacillota; Clostridia; Lachnospirales; Lachnospiraceae. The record is from RNAcentral.